UGCAACCCGACUCCACGAAGUUGGAUUCGCUAGUAAUCGCGCAUCAGCCAUGGCGCGGUGAAUACGUUCCCGGGCCUUGUACACACCGCCCGUCAAGCCAUGGGAGCCGGGGGCGCCUGAAGUCCGGGACCGCGAGGACCGGCCUAGGGCGAAACUGGUAACUGGGGCUAAGUCGUAACAAGGUAGC
RNAcentral lists this ribosomal RNA (187 nucleotides) under uncultured bacterium. RNAcentral's name for it is "partial 16S ribosomal RNA". It matches the Rfam family "Bacterial small subunit ribosomal RNA", at positions 1306 to 1500 of the family's 1533-position model. The record is from RNAcentral.